This 185-nucleotide ribosomal RNA is filed under the name Klebsiella pneumoniae IS43. RNAcentral's name for it is "Small Subunit Ribosomal RNA; ssuRNA; SSU rRNA". It matches the Rfam family "Bacterial small subunit ribosomal RNA", at positions 1318 to 1502 of the family's 1533-position model. The record is from RNAcentral. Lineage: Bacteria; Pseudomonadati; Pseudomonadota; Gammaproteobacteria; Enterobacterales; Enterobacteriaceae.
CCAUGAAGUCGGAAUCGCUAGUAAUCGUAGAUCAGAAUGCUACGGUGAAUACGUUCCCGGGCCUUGUACACACCGCCCGUCACACCAUGGGAGUGGGUUGCAAAAGAAGUAGGUAGCUUAACCUUCGGGAGGGCGCUUACCACUUUGUGAUUCAUGACUGGGGUGAAGUCGUAACAAGGUAACCG